UGGGGAAUAUUGCACAAUGGGCGGAAGCCUGAUGCAGCGACGCCGCGUGGGGGAUGAAGGCCUUCGGGUUGUAAACUCCUUUCGACAGGGACGAAGCUUUUGUGACGGUACCUGUAUAAGAAGCACCGGCUAACUACGUGCCAGCAGCCGCGGUAAUACGUAGGGUGCGAGCGUUGUCCGGAAUUACUGGCCGUAAAGAGCUCGUAGGUGGUUUGUCGCGUCGUCUGUGAAAUUCCGGGGCUUAACUCCGGGCGUGCAGGCGAUACGGGCUGACUUGAGUGCUGUAGGGGAGACUGGAAUUCCUGGUGUAGCGGUGAAAUGCGCAGAUAUCAGGAGGAACACCGAUGGCGAAGGCGGGUCUCUGGGCAGUAACUGACGCUGAGGAGCGAAAGCUUGGGUAGCGAACAGGAUUAGAUACCCUGGUAGUCCAUGCCGUAAACGGUGGGCGCUAGGUGUAGGGGGCUUCCACGUCUUCUGUGCCGUAGCUAACGCAUUAAGCGCCCCGCCUGGGAGUACGGCCGCA
RNAcentral lists this ribosomal RNA (523 nucleotides) under uncultured bacterium. RNAcentral's name for it is "bacterial SSU rRNA". It matches the Rfam family "Bacterial small subunit ribosomal RNA", at positions 355 to 890 of the family's 1533-position model. The record is from RNAcentral.